This 94-nucleotide ribosomal RNA is filed under the name Effusibacillus lacus. The record is from RNAcentral. Lineage: Bacteria; Bacillati; Bacillota; Bacilli; Caryophanales; Alicyclobacillaceae.
GACACACCCGUUCCCAUCCCGAACACGGAAGUUAAGCUCUCCAGCGCCGAUGGUACUUGGGCACGAGCCCCGGGAGAGUAGGUCGUCGCUAGGC